RNAcentral lists this ribosomal RNA (486 nucleotides) under uncultured bacterium. RNAcentral's name for it is "partial 16S ribosomal RNA". It matches the Rfam family "Bacterial small subunit ribosomal RNA", at positions 30 to 507 of the family's 1533-position model. The record is from RNAcentral.
AUUGAACGCUGGCGGCAUGCCUUACACAUGCAAGUCGAACGGCAGCACGGGUGCUUGCACCUGGUGGCGAGUGGCGAACGGGUGAGUAAUACAUCGGAACAUGUCCUGUAGUGGGGGAUAGCCCGGCGAAAGCCGGAUUAAUACCGCAUACGAUCCACGGAUGAAAGCGGGGGCCCUUCGGGCCUCGCGCUUUAGGGUUGGCCGAUGGCUGAUUAGCUAGUUGGUGGGGUAAAGGCCUACCAAGGCGACGAUCAGUAGCUGGUCUGAGAGGACGACCAGCCACACUGGGACUGAGACACGGCCCAGACUCCUACGGGAGGCAGCAGUGGGGAAUUUUGGACAAUGGGCGAAAGCCUGAUCCAGCAAUGCCGCGUGUGUGAAGAAGGCCUUCGGGUUGUAAAGCACUUUUGUCCGGAAAGAAAUCCUUGACUCUAAUACAGUCGGGGGAUGACGGUACCGGAAGAAUAAGCACCGGCUAACUACGUG